AAGACUAUAGACCUGCGGAGUACCUGCGGAGGGAUCAUUACCGAGUUAGGGUAGUCACUCACUGCCCGACCUCCCAACCCUGUGUCUACCACACUUUGUCGUUGCUUCGGCGGACCGGUUGACCAACUGGUCGUGACCGCCGGGGGCUGGCUCUGUCCCCCCUGGAGAACGUCCGUCGAUGGCCCAACCACAAAACUCUUGUACCGAAACGUGUCGUCUGAAUUAUAUUUGAGAAAUCAA
RNAcentral lists this unclassified non-coding RNA (240 nucleotides) under soil metagenome. Its description in RNAcentral is "partial contains 5.8S ribosomal RNA, internal transcribed spacer 2, and large subunit ribosomal RNA". The record is from RNAcentral.